CAAUAGCGUAUAUUAAAGUUGUUGCGGUUAAAAAGCUCGUAGUUGGAUUUCUGCUGAGAACGACCGGUCCGCCCUCUGGGUGUGUAUCUGGCUCUUUCUUGGCAUCUUCUUGGUGAACGUUGCUGCACUUGACUGUGUGGAGCGCUACCCAGGACUUUUACUUUGAGGAAAUUAGAGUGUUUCAAGCAGGCAUACGCCUUGAAUACAUUAGCAUGGAAUAAUAAGAUAGGACCUCGGUUCUAUUUUGUUGGCUUUCGGAACUUGAGUAAUGAUUGAAAGGGAUAGUUGGGGGUGCUAGUAUUUAACGGCCAGCGGUGAAAUGCAUGGACCCGUUAAAGACUAACUUAUGCGAAAGCAUUCACCAAGGAUAUCUUCUUUGA
RNAcentral lists this ribosomal RNA (380 nucleotides) under uncultured eukaryote. RNAcentral's name for it is "partial 18S ribosomal RNA". It matches the Rfam family "Eukaryotic small subunit ribosomal RNA", at positions 592 to 976 of the family's 1831-position model. The record is from RNAcentral.